Podarcis lilfordi (Lilford's wall lizard) is the source of this 2021-nucleotide non-coding RNA. Lineage: Eukaryota; Metazoa; Chordata; Lepidosauria; Squamata; Lacertidae. The record is from the annotation of a GenBank genome assembly.
GCUAGGAGAACAGAAAUUCCAGGCACUUGUUACUCUAGGCAACUCCAAAACAUUUUGCUGCACCUUUCCCCCUUCCAGAUACAGAAGCCAAUCAGACUGGCAAUUGAAUCUCCACUCAACAUGGACAACUGGGCAUCCUUCUCUACCAUAUUCUCUAAUCCUGAACCAUCCCUUUUAUAUUACUGAUCACCAAGAGGUGCUUAAUACGCUUGACUGAAGUACAUUAUAUUCACUUGGAGAAGCAGCUCCAAAGUGACCUCUCCGGGGUGCAAGCCUGGGCAGUCUGUAUGGAAGUACUGGGCUGCCCAGGUGACAAGACCCCCUUCUUGACCUUGCCGAUGUAAUCCAAAGGAAAGCAGAGCAAUAUGUUUGGCACCAGCUUGGCUGCAGGAGUUGCUGGAAGGAGGUGUACAAAGCACCAUCCAACAGUCUUAGGGACUCCACUCCAGAUUUGUGUAGGGUCUACCCCCUACUCUUUUCUUCUCCCAAAGAUAUCUUGCAAGGCAGAAGAGGUUCAGGAUCAGAAUUUCCCUUCUCUUAAAUGAGCUCCCUUUCCAGGUUGACAAGUCCCAUCUACUUCUCACUUCCCUCCAUAGGAGCCAGUUCCUAGGGGCUGAGGUCCCUUCAUCCCCCCUUAAAUAUUUGAGGGGUCCGGGAGCUCCCAAAGUUGAUGGGUAUCAAGUUGGCAGGCACCCUUGCUUCCCUCUACAGCACAUGCAGAAACCGCCUUUUUGAUCAUUGGACCUAUUCUUGGUCUCGUCUGCUCGAUCCACGAGAGCCUGUCUUCACAUGCAGUGGAUGCAGCCCAGUUGGGACUUAAGAAAAACAUUCUGCACAUCCCCAGAGUCUCUCUCUCUUUUCUGCUUUAAGUGCAGAGCCCUGGCAUUUGAAAUCAGUCUCUGGAGCUGAGUCCAGUUAAACCCUGGCUCAGAUUAACUCCACAGACACAUAUAAGAAAAAGCAUAUAUAGGGUUUUGGAACAUACAGUAUUCCCAAAUAUCGGUUUCCUCUCUCUUCAUUGUUUAUUUGGCUUGAGACCAGGUUGGAAUUUCACAAAAACAGAGCCAGAGAACUGUGGGCGGAAGGGAAAUAGCUUGCUAGCACUGUUCCCUAAACACUUGUGCAAGAGCUUAAACGAGAGUCCAGCCCUGCAAUUGCUACACAGAUAGGGUUAGGUACUCUGGGAAUGUGGUCUGUCUGAAACCUUGGAGAGUCGCUGCCAGACAAUGCAGACAAUCUGGGUCUGACUUGGCAGCUUCCAAUGUACAUUGUUGAGUUUGACUUUUCUCAUGCAACAUUCUUGCACAGAUGCACUUUGAACUCCAGCGCCCAUCAUCCCCAGCCAGCAAGGUCAACGGUAAGAGAGGAUGGAAGUUGUAGCUCUGCAACAUUUGGAGGGCCACAGGUGCCCCAUCCCCAAUCUAAUAAACCAGCCCUUUUACACAUGGGUGGGGACUUGGGGACAAUCGAGAGACUGACAUUCUGUUUAGGAGCUCCAAGGAGGAAGUGCCUUUAAAGACCAGUGAAAUUUCUGUGGAAGCAUAUCAGACAAUGCAUAGUUUCUUCCAUCCAUGGAGACACUUGCCUCACUAAGCUCCUUCUAUUUAUGCUUUUAACGUCCUUGUGGGAGUCUUUCUUCUUUUCUUUUCUUUUUGCUUUUUUGUCCAAGCUGUAAACCAGCAGAUGAUUGAAUACACAGGAAAUUUGCCAUAUCUUUUUCACAGAUGCUGUCAGAUGGGUGAAACAAGGAAAUGGAAGGAAGCACAGAUCGAAGGAUUAUCACUUUGUGAUUCUACAAGCGUUUGGUACGAUUCAAUGGCCACUUAUAUUGAUGUAGAUCCAUUAGCAGAGUCAGUGAAUUGCUCCCUUGUGCGAGAUUUGCUGGCUCUGUGGAUGCUGUGCAGAGACGAUUCGACAAUCAGCUGUGAGGCUGGUGGUGCAUAAGUUGUAUGUGACCACUUUGCUAGUGAUGGAAAACACAACACUCCAAUUCCAUAGCUUAUCUCAGCAAAGAAAGGGGU